Molecule: long non-coding RNA, 308 nt
Organism: Mya arenaria
Lineage: Eukaryota; Metazoa; Mollusca; Bivalvia; Myida; Myidae
Exons: 3
Source: RefSeq, a predicted model, not a curated record
CCUUCUUUGGCACCAUUGCCCUGGUCGGAUGUUGUCAAGACUGGGACCCUGCAUUUUGUACCCUUCUGGCUCAGUCUCACAGAUAUCUAUGUAAUGACCCAACCUUUGCAAACACCACGUGCAAACGCUUUUGUGGGAAUUGCCCUCUACUAGAGCCUCUAGAUUGUUAUUCGUGCCUUACCCCGGUUAGGAGUCCGGAUAAUUGCAGUACGACUUUGACAUGCGCAUUGGGAGAGGUCUGCAUGACUAAACAACAUAAGGCGAGCGAUGGACACAAUGAGUACAUCAUGCAGUGUGGUCACAGAUCG